GUGAAUCAUCAAAUCUUUGAACGCAAAUUGCACUCUCCGGUUUUCCGGGGGAGUAUGCCUGUUUGAGGGUCAGCCUAAAAAAAAUCGACAUUGUUGCUGUGAUUUAAUUGUGACUUUCGUCGGAGAUUGGGUUAUCUUAAACCUUUUUUUUUUUGUUUUAAGCUACUUAAAAUUUUUCUUCACGUUUCCAUUUCCGUUUCUAGGAUUUUUAUUUCUUAUACUUUUAAGUUUUAUCUUUCUUUUAUUAUACUUGACCUUCGCAUCG
This 265-nucleotide unclassified non-coding RNA is filed under the name Glomeraceae sp. Its description in RNAcentral is "partial contains 5.8S ribosomal RNA and internal transcribed spacer 2". The stretch from base 1 to 72 matches the Rfam family "5.8S ribosomal RNA", at positions 84 to 154 of the family's 154-position model. Lineage: Eukaryota; Fungi; Glomeromycota; Glomeromycetes; Glomerales; Glomeraceae. The record is from RNAcentral.